AUUUGACUAAAUAAUCAAAUUUUCCACUGGGCUGUCCUAAGAGAUCCCAAAUCUCUUUACCUUUUUCUGUAGCAGAUUUAUCAGUCUGCUGAGUCUGAUUGUCUGAUUUAGUAGAGGAAUCAACAGUCCCCUGAGUCUGUUGGGCUUUUGGUAAGUCCACAACCUUUAACGGAUUUGAUAAGUCUUUACCAGCUACCGUUUGGGCUGGACUAGUUAUGGACUUCUUGGGCUCCAUAGUACCUGUUGGAUA
Molecule: long non-coding RNA, 250 nt
Filed under: Olea europaea (common olive)
Lineage: Eukaryota; Viridiplantae; Streptophyta; Magnoliopsida; Lamiales; Oleaceae
Description: long non-coding RNA (OEUR_LNC010440)
Source: RNAcentral